RNAcentral lists this ribosomal RNA (371 nucleotides) under uncultured Rhodocyclaceae bacterium. RNAcentral's name for it is "bacterial SSU rRNA". It matches the Rfam family "Bacterial small subunit ribosomal RNA", at positions 1012 to 1382 of the family's 1533-position model. Lineage: Bacteria; Pseudomonadati; Pseudomonadota; Betaproteobacteria; Rhodocyclales; Rhodocyclaceae. The record is from RNAcentral.
GGGUGCUCGAAAGAGAACCUGGACACAGGUGCUGCAUGGCUGUCGUCAGCUCGUGUCGUGAGAUGUUGGGUUAAGUCCCGCAACGAGCGCAACCCUUGUCAUUAGUUGCCAUCAUUCAGUUGGGCACUCUAAUGAGACUGCCGGUGACAAACCGGAGGAAGGUGGGGAUGACGUCAAGUCCUCAUGGCCCUUAUGGGUAGGGCUUCACACGUCAUACAAUGGCCGGUACAGAGGGUUGCCAAGCCGCGAGGCGGAGCCAAUCCCAGAAAGCCGGUCGUAGUCCGGAUUGCAGUCUGCAACUCGACUGCAUGAAGUCGGAAUCGCUAGUAAUCGCGGAUCAGCAUGUCGCGGUGAAUACGUUCCCGGGUCUU